UACGAAGGGGGCUAGCGUUGCUCGGAAUCACUGGGCGUAAAGCGCACGUAGGCGGACUCUUAAGUCAGGGGUGAAAUCCUGGAGCUCAGCUCCAGAACUGCCUUUGAUACUGGGAGCCUUGAGUUCGAGAGAGGUGAGUGGAACUGCGAGUGUAGAGGUGAAAUUCGUAGAUAUUCGCAAGAACACCAGUGGCGAAGGCGGCUCACUGGCUCGAUACUGACGCUGAGGUGCGAAAGCGUGGGGAGCAAACAGG
Molecule: ribosomal RNA, 253 nt
Filed under: uncultured bacterium
Lineage: Bacteria
Description: partial 16S ribosomal RNA
Rfam family: Bacterial small subunit ribosomal RNA
Source: RNAcentral